ACCUGGGUGGCUCAGUCGGUUAAGCUGCUGACUUUGGCUCAGGUCAUGAUCUCACAGUUGGUGGGUUCAAACCCCACAUCAGGCU
Molecule: non-coding RNA, 85 nt
Organism: Felis catus (domestic cat)
Lineage: Eukaryota; Metazoa; Chordata; Mammalia; Carnivora; Felidae
Source: Rfam